ACUGCUCCUAGAGGCAUUGCAGGUCUUGCUGCUAUGUCACAUGUGCAUCAUUAGGUGGCAGAGAAGAGAGAGAGGCCACCUCAGUGUUCUGACUUGUGAACAUCUGGAUGAUUAGUAGCCUGACAUU
Molecule: small nucleolar RNA, 127 nt
Organism: Acomys russatus (golden spiny mouse)
Lineage: Eukaryota; Metazoa; Chordata; Mammalia; Rodentia; Muridae
Product: small nucleolar RNA SNORA17
Exons: 1
Source: RefSeq, a predicted model, not a curated record